RNAcentral lists this unclassified non-coding RNA (431 nucleotides) under plant metagenome. RNAcentral describes it as "partial contains 5.8S ribosomal RNA, internal transcribed spacer 2, and large subunit ribosomal RNA". The stretch from base 1 to 102 matches the Rfam family "5.8S ribosomal RNA", at positions 50 to 154 of the family's 154-position model. The record is from RNAcentral.
AAACUGCGAUAAGUAGUGUGAAUUGCAUUUAGUGAAUCAUCGAAUCUUUGAACGCACCCUGCACUCACUGGUAUUACGGUGAGUACGCCUGUUUCAGUAUCAUUGAAAACACACAAUCAAAACAUUUUCUUUGGUUUGAUUGGCUUUGGGUCUAUCAAAAAGUUUGGCUUGUUUCUUACAAGCCAAGCGGCCUGAAAUAUAUUGUCUGGCUAAUUGCAUCGUUGAUGAUCGCUAUUAGACUUUGGCUUUUUUAAAUGAACUGGAGGUUGAUUAACCAGUUUUAGCUUUAGUCAAAUGGUCAUUGUAAAAAAAAUCUCGAUCUUGGCUAGGUGUUUAUAGCCGAAAAUUUUUUUUUGGCUAUAACCGAAACCAAUAUAAUCACAUUUAGUUAUCGAUCUGAAAUCAGGUGGGACUACCCGCUGAACUUAAGC